GAUGAACGCUGGCGGCGUGCUUAACACAUGCAAGUCGAACGGAAAGGCCCUGCUUUUGUGGUGUGCUCGAGUGGCGAACGGGUGAGUAACACGUGAGUAACCUGCCCUUGACUUUGGGAUAACUUCAGGAAACUGGGGCUAAUACCGGAUAGGAGCUCCUGCUGCAUGGUGGGCGUUGGAAAGUUUCGGCGGUUGGGGAUGGACUCGCGGCUUAUCAGCUUGUUGGUGGGGUAGUUGCUGACCAAGGCUUUGACGGGUAGCCGGCCUGAGAGGGUGACCGGCCACAUUGGGACUGAGGUACGGCCCAGACUGCUACGGGAGGCAGCAGUGGGGAAUAUUGCACAAUGGGCGGAAGCCUGAUGCAGCAACGCCGCGUGCGGGAUGACGGCCUUCGGGUUGUAAACCGCUUUCGCCUGUGACGAAGCGUGAGUGACGGUAAUGGGUAAAGAAGCACCGGCUAACUACGUG
RNAcentral lists this ribosomal RNA (468 nucleotides) under uncultured bacterium. RNAcentral's name for it is "partial 16S ribosomal RNA". It matches the Rfam family "Bacterial small subunit ribosomal RNA", at positions 28 to 507 of the family's 1533-position model. The record is from RNAcentral.